GUUUUCAUGCAAUUAUGCAAUUAUAUAUAUAUAUAUAUAUAUAUAUAUAUAUAUAUAUAUACAUACAUAUAGAUAUAUAUAUAUACAUACACAUAGAUAUAUAUA
RNAcentral lists this microRNA precursor (105 nucleotides) under Ciona savignyi (Pacific transparent sea squirt). Its description in RNAcentral is "miRNA (ENSCSAVG00000012313.1)". Lineage: Eukaryota; Metazoa; Chordata; Ascidiacea; Phlebobranchia; Cionidae. The record is from RNAcentral.